Molecule: ribosomal RNA, 253 nt
Filed under: uncultured bacterium
Lineage: Bacteria
Description: partial 16S ribosomal RNA
Rfam family: Bacterial small subunit ribosomal RNA
Source: RNAcentral
UACAGAGGGGGCAAGCGUUGUUCGGAAUUACUGGGCGUAAAGGGCGCGUAGGCGGCCUGUUAAGUCGAACGUGAAAUCCCCGGGCUCAACCUGGGAAUGGCAUUUGGGACUGCAAGGCUGGAGUUUGGCAGAGGAGACUGGAAUUCCUGGUGUAGCAGUGAAAUGCGUAGAUAUCAGGAGGAAUACCGAUGGCGAAGGCAGGUCUCUGGGCUAUAACUGACGCUCAUGCACGAAAGCGUGGGGAGCAAACAGG